RNAcentral lists this ribosomal RNA (408 nucleotides) under uncultured Chloroflexota bacterium. Its description in RNAcentral is "bacterial SSU rRNA". It matches the Rfam family "Bacterial small subunit ribosomal RNA", at positions 28 to 438 of the family's 1533-position model. The record is from RNAcentral. Lineage: Bacteria; Bacillati; Chloroflexota.
GAUGAACGCUAGCGGCGUGCCUAACACAUGCAAGUCGAACGUGAGAGGGUACUUGUAUCCUUGAAAGUGGCGGACGGGUGAGUAAGACGUAGGUGACCUGCCUCGAAGUGGGGGAUAACCAUUGGAAACGAUGGCUAAUACCGCAUAAGCUGGUGACGAUGGGAAUGGUUGCCAGGAAAGCUUUAGUGCUUUGAGAGGGGCCUACGGCCGAUUAGCUAGUUGGUGAGGUAAAGGCUCACCAAGGCGAUGAUCGGUAGCUGGUCUGAGAGGACGAUCAGCCACACGGGAACUGAGACACGGUCCCGACUCCUACGGGGGCAGCAGUGAGGAAUAUUCGGCAAUGGGGGCAACCCUGACCGAGCAACGCCGCGUGGAGGAUGACGGUUUUCGGAUUGUAAACUCCUUUUC